GUGGGCGUAGCUCAGUCGGUAGAGCUCCGGAUUGUGGCUCCGGCGGUCGUGGGUUCAAAUCCCAUCGUCCACCCCA
RNAcentral lists this transfer RNA (76 nucleotides) under Pseudomonadales bacterium. RNAcentral's name for it is "tRNA-His". It matches the Rfam family "tRNA". From Rfam's summary of the family: Transfer RNA (tRNA) molecules are approximately 80 nucleotides in length. Their secondary structure includes four short double-helical elements and three loops (D, anti-codon, and T loops). Further hydrogen bonds mediate the characteristic L-shaped molecular structure. tRNAs have two regions of fundamental functional importance: the anti-codon, which is responsible for specific mRNA codon recognition, and the 3' end, to which the tRNAs corresponding amino acid is attached (by aminoacyl-tRNA synthetases). tRNAs cope with the degeneracy of the genetic code in two manners: having more than one tRNA (with a specific anti-codon) for a particular amino acid; and 'wobble' base-pairing, i.e. permitting non-standard base-pairing at the 3rd anti-codon position. The record is from RNAcentral. RNAcentral also lists the same sequence under 3 other names. Lineage: Bacteria; Pseudomonadati; Pseudomonadota; Gammaproteobacteria; Pseudomonadales.